AGCUCUCGCUGUGAAAUGUCCAGUUAAGUCUGACAACGAGCAAGACCCCCACCCCUUGUUGUUAUUCCCCUCUCGUGAGGCGGGGCACUCUAAGGGGACUGCCGCUGUUAAACCGGAGGAAGGUGGGGACCACGUCAAGUCAUCAUGCCCCUAACCCCCAGGGCUCCACACGUGCUACAAUGGCGGGUACAAAGGGUUGCGACCCCGAAAGGGGGAGCCAAUCCCUUAAACCCCCUCGUAGUCGGGAUUGGGGGUCUGCAACUCGCCCUCAUGACGUGGAAUCCGCUAGUAAUCGCGGU
This 299-nucleotide ribosomal RNA is filed under the name uncultured archaeon. RNAcentral's name for it is "partial 16S ribosomal RNA". It matches the Rfam family "Bacterial small subunit ribosomal RNA", at positions 1057 to 1348 of the family's 1533-position model. The record is from RNAcentral.